RNAcentral lists this long non-coding RNA (846 nucleotides) under Sinocyclocheilus grahami. RNAcentral describes it as "lncRNA (ENSSGRG00000028528.1)". The record is from RNAcentral. Lineage: Eukaryota; Metazoa; Chordata; Actinopteri; Cypriniformes; Cyprinidae.
GAUGAAACACCGCCAUCUACCGGACAUGCGUAUAAACGACACCUACAGGAUCCUUACUAGCUUGUUUACACCACGAGAGAUUCAACUGGCAAAAUUCCCUUUACGACGUACUAAUGUAGAUUGAAUUGGUCGUAGAAUGGAGGUUCCUGCCGUAAACCACAGCUAUACACAUCCACAGCCAUGGGCCGGACAGAGUCCCAGGACCCCAACCAUACCUCCACCCAGCUGUCCAUUUCCUUCAUAUCACUAUCCAAACCUGAACCCAGAUCAGCAGAGUGUGACCCCCAUGACCCAAACGACAGGAACCGCAGCAGGCCAUCGGCCUCAGUCACUGCAAAGCUACCAAGGAGUGUUCAAGCCUGUUCCUGAGAUUACAAAUAAGACGAAUCAAGGAAUGCCACAGAGAAGCUACUCAUUACCAACGAGUCCAGUGUCAAAUUCUAAGACAGAGUCUCGAUACGGCCUGGAUCCUCAGCUUCUGCCCAGUGUGGUAAAUGAGCCGGCCCUCUUAUUCUGUAAUGUUUCCAUCAAGACAGCUCAGGUUUGAUUGCACUGUUGUGCAUGGCUGUGUUAUUUUGUCUCAGUGUCUAAAUGUCUCUUAAAUGUUCAGGUCCAGGUGAUUAAAGAGGACAGGAUCCAGUGGGAGGGGAAAGUGUUUGUUUCAGAAUGCAAAUCUUCAGUUCCCCUUCUUCCUGGGCAGAGUUCUACAGGAAAUGUCACUUUUCAACCCUGAGUCGGAUGGAUCCGGCUCACAAGAGCUUUCUGUUUCUGCAGGGCUGAAGAUUCUUCAGGCAAGAGCCUUAAUAUGAGUCUUAAACAUGCACAUGCCCUUGGAUAGUGCUACUA